UUGACUCGUGCCCUCCAUUGAGGUAUAUAUUUUAUUGAUGAUUCUUUUAUUAUGCAGGACCGCAGUACGGGACAGACGAUUGGAACAUAACUUGAAUCAGAAGGACUCUACUACCUUAACUCACUAACAUCCUCCAAGGCCUGUCUAGUUGCAGAUCCUCCAGACCUACUUCACAUUCGUUUAGAACAUCCUAGCUUGUCCAAGCUUCAGAAGAUGGUGCCUAGUUUUUCUAGUUUAUCCACAUUAGAGUGUGAGUCAUGUCAGCUCGGGAAACAUACCCGAGCCUCCUUUCCUCGUAGUAUUGAGUCGUGCAGAGUCUGUUUUUUCUUUAGUUCAUUCGGAUAUAUGGGGUCAUAGUAGAGUCAGUUCAACCUUGGGAUUUCGUUAUUUGUUAGUUUCAUUGAUGAUCAUUCAAGAUGUACUUGGAUUUUCUUAAUGAAAGAUCGUUAGGACUUGAAUUAGAAGUACUCUACUACUUUAACUCAGUAAAACCCUCCAAGGCCUGUCUAGUUGCAGAUCCUCCAAACCUACUUCACAGUCGUUUAGGACAUCCUAGCUUGUCCAAGCUUUAGAACAUGGUGCCUAGUUUGUCUAGUUUAUCCACAUUAGAGUGUGAGUCAUGUCAGCUCGGGAAACAUACCCGAGCCUCCUUUCCUCGUAGUAUUGAGAG
This 670-nucleotide long non-coding RNA is filed under the name Nicotiana benthamiana. RNAcentral describes it as "long non-coding RNA (NBEN_LNC030537)". The record is from RNAcentral. Lineage: Eukaryota; Viridiplantae; Streptophyta; Magnoliopsida; Solanales; Solanaceae.